UGAUAAAAUAAUUAUUAUUAUUAUAUUUUAAAAAUCACGUGAUAGAAUUUUCUGCGUUUUAAUAUAAUUUAAUGUUCCUUGACUUUCAAUCAGUUGUGGAAUUAGGUGUUUCAUCUGAUUAGUGAUUGAUAAUCAAGGUUAUUAAGGAACACACACAUAUUACUACUAAAGUACUGAAUUAAUAUAGGUUCUCUUUUCUUACAUGUACAUUUGUUUGGUUUGAUUAUAUUUAUA
Non-coding RNA from Cinara cedri, 234 nucleotides. The record is from the annotation of a GenBank genome assembly. NCBI's taxonomy places the organism in Eukaryota, Metazoa, Arthropoda, Insecta, Hemiptera, Aphididae.